This 195-nucleotide ribosomal RNA is filed under the name Escherichia coli. RNAcentral describes it as "partial 16S ribosomal RNA". It matches the Rfam family "Bacterial small subunit ribosomal RNA", at positions 1 to 187 of the family's 1533-position model. The record is from RNAcentral. Lineage: Bacteria; Pseudomonadati; Pseudomonadota; Gammaproteobacteria; Enterobacterales; Enterobacteriaceae.
UUAAAUUGAAGAGUUUGAUCAUGGCUCAGAUUGAACGCUGGCGGCAGGCCUAACACAUGCAAGUCGAACGGUAACAGGAAACAGCUUGCUGUUUCGCUGACGAGUGGCGGACGGGUGAGUAAUGUCUGGGAAACUGCCUGAUGGAGGGGGAUAACUACUGGAAACGGUAGCUAAUACCGCAUAACGUCGCAAGAC